This 381-nucleotide ribosomal RNA is filed under the name Triticum aestivum (bread wheat). RNAcentral describes it as "partial small subunit ribosomal RNA". Lineage: Eukaryota; Viridiplantae; Streptophyta; Magnoliopsida; Poales; Poaceae. The record is from RNAcentral.
AUGCCAGUUUUAUUCUUUGUGAAGAGCUCGCGGUCAGUGACGAUCGACAUUCUUUGUGCUCAGCCGGAGACGACGACGGGCGUAAGCAGCGGUGCGCCGGCGAAGAAGGCCUCCAGGUUGCCGGCAACGAGGCGGUCGAGGUCGGCUAUGGACUCCGGGGUGAACGCGGCCCGGUGGGGCGUCAGCACGACGUUGUCCAUGGCCAGCAGCUCCGCCGGCACGUCCGGCUCGUCCUCGAACACGUCCAGCCCGGCGCCCGCGAGCCUGCCCUCCGCGAGCGCCCUCACCAGCUCCGCCUCGUCCACGUUCGGGCCGCGCGCCACGUUCACCACCACGCCGCCGCUCCCCAGCUCGUCCAGCACGCGCCUGUCGACGACGUGA